CCCACACCCAGGCCCUGCUGCCGGGCCGAUGGGCACCACUAAGAGGUGCUCUGGGCCCUAACUGGGACCCUCAUCCUGGCCCCUACGCAGGGUCUUCCACAACAGAGGAUACAUUUCUGAAACGCCUUCAACCUAAGAUUUCAACAGCUACCCAGGCAGCCAAAGCCCAAGGGUAAAGAAGAGCAGCCCCAGAAAAGAGGACAGAGCAAGUGUGGCCGGCCUCGGCGGUGGCGGGCCAGCAGGUUAGUGGAGGCAGGAGCACGGAGACGGCAGCGCCGUGUUCCGACCACUUCCUACAGGCGCUUCUCAAAGCGCGGCCCUGGGCAGUCACUGGGGAGCUUGUCAAACAUGGAGAUUCAGGGCCCUGGUGCCCGGGAGGCUGGAGAACCACCGCCAACCGUGUGUCACAUACUGUCCACCCCUCGGAGCUCUUAUAUAUCCCCAAGGGCAUUCCUGAGUAGGUGAAAGGCCUUCCUUUGGCUGACACUGAGGCCUCCCAGGACCUCAGUCUUCCCUGUGUCAUGUCUUGUUCUGACCCACUUGACCCAACAAGGGCACACACAACAUACUCCCACCACUCCUGAAGUCCCCCUGCCUUUGUUCAAGCUAUUCCCUGGUCAGAAAGGCCUUCCUGAACAACAAGGACCUCCUGAUGCUGUGAAGGAUAAAAGGUAUGAAGAUGGGCAGAGGGGGGAGGUGCAGGACCGGGGUGGGGGAUGGGGGGUAAAGAAGGGGUCAAGAGUUAGGAGGCAGGGGAAGGGAGACGGAAAUCCAGCCCCUCCUGUCCCACUCUAAGGGCAUCACGCUGUGGGCAAGGCCUCCCCCUACGCUGCCACCCCAUGCGUGUGCCUGGGCUGGCUGCCAUGGCUGGUCAAUGGGUUAAUGAUUCCAGUAGCACAGGGGCUUGGCACAGGUCACCUCCCACCAUGCACAGGACCUGAGUUAGUGGGGGACACAAAAGACGAGGGCCAUGGCACAGGGGGACACUGGUCUAGUGCCCUCAGGCACCCAGCCUGGGCAGGGCAGGACAAGGGGAAGAAGGGGGCACCUGCUGACAGCCUCUGGCUCAGGGAGGCCGGACCCAGAGUCGGGAAUCCAUGGGAAGCUGGGAGUGUCUCCAGACCCGGUUUAGGGAGAGAGUAAGCAGCCGCCUGUGAGGGGCCUCAGCCUCCUGGUCAUGAAAGAAUCCUGGGUAGAGGCUAAGGCCCCUCAAGGAGACCCUCCUCCUGUGGCAGUGGGAAGGGUCAGCCUGCUCUGUCCAAGCCGCGCCCCCCAGUCCUGGGAACAAAGGGCACGUCCCUGCAAAGCCUGCCCAUGUGUCCUGGGAGCUGGGUCCCCUCAGAGGGCUGCCUAUGGGAGCACAGCCGCAGCCCCAUCAACAGCAGGCAAAAGCCCCAGGGCCGGCCCUAUCUCCAUCUCUGGCCUGUCUGCUCAUGGCCACCAAGUGCCCAGCCCUGGGGAGUAUCCCACAGGGGACCCAGCCUUCCCUCUGAGAGGGGGGCCUCAGAGACGGCCCGGGGGCUCCGGCCCUCACCUCCAGGAGCUGGGGAGCUGCAGAAGAGAGAGAGAGAGAGGAGCUCGCCAGGUGGAGGCGGGGCAGCAGCAAGCUCGAAGACGCACCCCUGUGCAGCCGGGGGUGCCGAGGAGGGCCCGGGGGCUGCGCGAGGUGAAGGGGUGAGGAAAGGCAUCUCAUAGGAGCUGGGUAACUGCGCAUCAGCUCCUGUAUGAAGCCGUUCUCACCCCCCACCUACUGACUACGGCCGCGACCCUCCUCCCGGAAGCAUUGUGUGCACCCCGGACGGCAGGUGGGACCUGCCACUAGCAGCUGCUCGUGGUGACAGCAGUGACGGUAAGGGACAGCCAGCCCAGGCGGCACUGCCCGCCGCUGGGGACCUGCAGCACGGUGGUGCCUGCGUGCCUCGCCCGACCGCGGCCUGCCGCUGCCUCCUCUGGCCAGGGCCUGGGUCUCCCUUAGCUGGGCUCCACAGGGAGGCCUCAGGAGGCUGUGGAGACAGGCUAGGGCAUGGAGCCUGGGGACCCCAGGGGCAGCAGACCUGAGCUGGCACAGGAGCUGUGAGUGGGCAUCAGGGGCUCGGAUUUCCCCCCUCUGCAGCUUUCUACUCCCGGCCACUUUUCCUGCCUCACCGUCUGUGUCAGGACACCUCUGGGAAGCUAGUGAGGUGUCACUGAGCCCAAGAGGAGGUUAGUUUCCCUGAGACAAAAAGCAGCCAGGGGUUACUCAGGGUCGGAGGAUGGGGGAGGGGGAGAUGGGGUGACAGGUAAAGGCUACAGGAUAAAUGACAGAACGACUCCAAAACCGAAUUGCUGAUGGUUGCCUGUAUCUGUGAAUAAACUGAAACCACGGACAUGUGCACUUCAGGGGCUGGACUGCGUGCAUGCAGAUAUCCAAUAAAGUUGUUUUUAAAAAAUAAAGAGCUUCCCUGGUCCCUGCCCAUCUUUCUUGACCACCGUGCCCGCCUUCCCCUGCUGCAGGCCUCGCCACAGACUCAGCAGCCACCAGCACCAUCAACACACUCUCCCACAGAUGCACGGCCUGGCACACGGUAGGUGUUCAAUAACACCGUUAUUGCUGAAUUAAUGACUUAAUGACAGAAGAUCCCCUAAACAGCACAUGGAAGAAAAGCUCCAGGGUGCGGAGUUCUGGCCCUAAGGAGAACUGGGGACAGGAGGGGGGAAGGCGAGGGAGGGGGUGAAGGGCUCCAUGUGACACGUGGUGGGGAAGGGGCUCCAUGUGACACGUGGUGGGGGAGGGGCUCCAUGUGACACGUGGUGGGGAAGGGGCUUCAUGUGACACGUGGUGGGGAAGGGGCUCCAUGUGACACGUGGUGGGGCGAAGGGCUCCAUGUGACACGUGGUGGGGAAGGGGUUCCAUGUGACACAUGGCUGGGGGAGGGGCUCCAUGUGACACACGGUAGAGAAUGGCUCCAUGUGACACACAGGCAUUGGAGUGGCUCCAUGCGACACACUUAAGGAAGAGCCUCCACGUGACACGUGAGUGAGGAGGGCUCCAUGUGACACAUGGGUGGGGAAAGGACUCCAUAUGACACAAGGGUAACGGAGUGGCUCCAUGCAAUACACAUUGGGGAGGCCCUCCAUGUAACAUGUGUUGGGGGAGGGCUCCACGUGACACAUGGGUGGAUGAGGAGCUGCAUGUGACACAUGGGUAAGAGAGGAGCUCCAUGCAACAUAUGUAGGGGAGGGCCUCCAUGUGACACGUGAGUGGAGAUGGCUCCAUGUGUCACAAGGGUGGGGAGGGGCUACAUGUAACACAUGAGUGGGGGAGGGGCUCCAUAUAACAAAUGAGUAAGGAGGGACUCAGUGUGACACACGGGUACAGGGUUUAGUGUGACAAAUGGGUUGAGGAGAGGCUCUAUGUGACACGAGUCAGGGGUAAUAAGUGCAGCACAUGAGUGAGGCAGGGACUCAGUGUGACAUGAGUGGGAGAGGGACUCCAUGUGACACAUGAGGAGGGGAGGGGCUCAGUGUGACACAUGAGGGAGGGAGGGGCUCUGUAUGAUACUUGAGUAAGAAAGGGACUCCAUACGAUACGUGAAUAGAGAAGGAGAUCAACGUGACACAUGGGUGAGGGAGGGGCGCGUUGUGACAGGGGUGUGGGAGGGACUCAGUGUGACACAUGAGUUAGUGAGGGGCUCUGUAUGACACAGCGGGAGAGGGAAUCCAUAUGAUCCGUGAUGAGGGGAGGGGCUCAGUGUGACACAAGGGUGUGGGAGGGGUUGAGUGUGACACACGAGUGAGGGAGGGGCGUAUUGUGACAGGGGUGUGGGAGGGGUUCAGGGUGACACAUGAGGGAGGGAGGGGCGUGUUCUGACACAGGGGUGUGGGAGGGGCUCAGUGUGACCCAUGGGUGAGGGAGAGGCAUGUAACACAGGGGUGUGGGAGGGGCGUGUUCUGACACAAGGGUGUGGGAGGGGCUCAGCGUGACACGGGUGAGGGAGGGGCGUGUUGUGACACAAGGGUGUGUGAGGGGCAUGUUGUGACACAAGGGUAUGGGAGGGGCUCAGUGUGAUACAUGAGUGCAGGAGGGGCGUGUUGUGACACGGGUGUGGGAGGGGCUCAGUGUGACACAUGAGUGCGGGAGGGGCGUGUUGUGACACAGGGGUGUGGGAGGGGUUCAGUGUGACACAUGAGUGAGGGAGGGGCGUGUUGUGACACAAGGGUGUGGGAGGGACUCAGUGUGACACGAGUGAGGGAGGGGCGUGUUGUGACACGGGGGUGUGGGAGGGACUCAGUGUGACAAAUGAGUGAGGGAGGGGCUCUAUAUGACACAUUAGUGGGAGAGGGAAUCCAUAUGAUACAUGAUUAGGGGAGGGGCUCACUGUGUCACUUGAGUGAGGGAGGGGCAUGUUGUGGCACAGGGGUGUGGGAGAGGCAUGUUGUGACACAAGGGUGUGGGAGGGGUGUGUUGUGACACAGGGGUGUGGGAGAGGCAUGUUGUGACACAAGGGUGUGGGAGGGGCGUGUUGUGACACAGGGGUGUGGGAGGGACUCAGUGUGACAAAUGAGUGAGGGAGGGGCUCUAUAUGACACAGUGGGAGAGGGAAUCCAUAUGACACGAUGAGGGGAGGGGCUCAGAGUGACACAUGAGUGAGGGAGGGGCGUGUUGUGACACAAGGGUGUGGGAGGGGCUCAGUGUGACACAUGAGUGAGGGAGGGGCGUGUUGUCACAAAAGGGUGUGGGAGGGGCCCAGUGUGACACAGGGAUGUGGGAGGGGCCUGUCGUGACACAGGGGUGUGGGAAGGGUUCAGUGUGACACAGGAGUGAGGGAGGGGCUCUAUUUGACACAGUGGGAGAGGGAAUCCACAUGACACAUGACUAGGGGAGGGGCUCAGUGUGACACAUGUGUAAGGGAGGGGCAUACUGUGACACAGGGUUGUGGGCCACACUCAGUGCGACACAUGAGUGGAGGAGAGGCUCCAUAUUCCACAUGAGUGGGAGAGGGACUCCAUGUGACACAUGAGUAGGAGAGGGCAUGUGGUGACACAAGGAUAUGGGAGUGACACAUGAGAGAGAGAGGCUCAGCGUGACAUACUGUCGUCAGAGGGGAUCUAUAUGACACACGUGGGGGAGGGGCUUAGUGUAAUGCAUAGCUGGUGAGGGGGGCUAAUGUGACAAAUGAAUGGGGGAGGGAUUCAGUAAGACACAUGAUGGGGGACAGUGGGAACACGUGAAUGAGUGGGGGAUCUGGCGUUACAAAUAGGUGGGGGGGGUCUUGGUGUAACACAUGAGUAGGAUAAGGGCUCAGUGACACAUGACUGGGGGAGUGUCUCUAUGUGACAUGAAUGGGGGAGGUACUAGGUGUUGCAAUGAGAACGGGGCUCAUUGUGGCACACAGGUUGGGGGAGGGGCUUCACGUAACACGAGUGAGGGAGGGGUUCCAUGUGACAAAUGAGCAGUGGGACUUGGUGGGACUUGGUGAGCCAUGUGAGUGAGAGAGGGGCUAUACGCGACAUAUGGGUGGGGGAAGGACUCAGUGUGACACAUGAGUGUGGAACUCAGUGUGACACAGGGGUGUUGGAGGGGCUGAGUGUGACGCAUGGGUGAAAAAGGUAUUCUAUGUGAUACACGAGUGCAGGAGGGAGUCUGUGUGACACAUGAGUGGGUGAGGGACCCCAUGAUACCUAAGCUGGUGAGGGUCAAGGUGACACAAGACUGAGGAGGGACUGAGUGUGAUGCAUGAGUGGAGGAGGGAGCCCAGUGUGACACACUGAAUGUGACACAUAGACGGGGGGCGGAUCAGUGUGACAUGUGGGUGCAGAAGGGGCUCAGUGUGAUGUAAAAAUGGUGGGAUUCAGUGUGACACAACUGGGGAAAGUCUCUAUGUGACACGAGUAGAAAGGGACUCCGUAUGAUACCUAAGAGGAGGAGGGACUCAGUGGGACACAGGAGGGAGGGAGGAAGGGAGGGGUCAGUGUGACACAUGAAUUGCGGGGCUCAGUUUGACACAUGGGUGGAAUAGGGGUUCUAAGAGACACGUGUGGAGAAACAUGAGUGGGAGGGAGUCAGUGUCACACACAGGUUGGGGAGGAGCUCAGAGUGACACAUGAGUGUAGCAAGGACUCAGUGUAGGACAUGGGUGAGAGGGCCUGUGUGUGACACGAAUGGGGGGCUGUGUGUGACACAAAUGAGACAUGAAUGGGGAGGGAUUUUCAGUGUGAUGCAGGAGUGGGGGAGGUGCUCAGUAUAACACAUGGGUGGGGGAGAGACUUCAUAUGGCACAUUGGUUGGGGGGUCUAGAUGAGACAUGAGUCAGGGAGGGGAUCCAUGUGAUACACGAAUAGGGGACGGACUCUGCAGAACACAUGGGUGGAGAAGAAGCUCUAUGUGACACGAAUAGGGAAAGGACUUGGUGUGACACAAAGGUGGGAGGACAGACUCUGUGUGACACAUGAAUGGGGGAGGGGCUCAAUGUAACACAGGUGGGGAGGAGCUCCAUAUAACACAUGAACGAGUGAGGCACUUAGUAUGACACAUGAGUACAGGGUCUAACGCAUGGGUGGAGGAUGGGCUCCAUGUGAGUCAUGAGUGGAGAAGUGAUCCAGUGUGACACAUGAGUGAGGGAAGGGGCUCAGUGUGACAUAUGAAUAGGGGAGGGGCUCUGUGUGACACAUGGGCAGAGAAAGGACUCCAUGUGACACGUAAGUAGGAAAGGGACUCAGUGUGACACAUGAGUGGGGAGUUUGGUGUGUCACAUGCAUGAAGGAGGUGCUCUGAGACACACGAGUCGAAGUGGGCACAGUGUGAUACAUGAGUGGGGAGAGGAUCAUCUGACAUAUGAGUGGGGGCUCAGUGUGACACAUGAGUGGGGAAGGGCUCCAGAUGACACAUGAGUAGAGGAGGGGCUCAGGAUAACACAUGAAUGAGGGAGGUGCUCACUGUAACACAUGGGUGAGGAAAGCAGCUCAGUACGACACAUGAGAGUGGAAGAGGGGCUCAAUGUGACACAGGAGUGAGGGAGGGAGUCGGGGUGGCAUGUGGGUGGGAGAAGGACUCCAUAUGAUACGUGAGUGGCAGAGGUCUCAGUGUGACACUGAGGGGGGAUUCAGUGUGACACGUGAUUAGAUAGGGACUCAGUAUGACACGAAUAGGAGGGGGACUGUAUGAUUGGAGGCAGAGGUUUAGCAUGACACAUGAGUCAGGGAGGAUUCAGUGUGACAUGGGUGCAGAAGGGGCUCAGUGUGGCCCAUGAAUGGCAGGUCUCAGUGUGACAGUGAGUGGCAGAGGGACUCAGUGUGACAGAGGAGUCGGGUAGGAGUUCCAUAUGAGACAUGAGUUGGUGAGGGGCUCAGUAUGCACGUGAAUGGGGGAGAAACACAGUGUGAUACACAGCAGGGAAGGGAUUUAGUAUAAAACAUGAGCGAGGGUACUUGGUGUGACACAUGAGUGAAACAGGGGCUCUAUGUGACAGAGGGUCUCUAUGUGACACAUGAGUGGAGAAGAGGCUCAAUGUAAUGUGACAUAAGUGGGGAAGGGACUCAGUGAGACACACAGGUUAGGGGGUUUCAGUGUGACACAUGAGUGGAACAGGGACUAGGUGUGGCUCAUAGGUGGGGGAGGGGGCUCUGUGUGACAUGAGUCGGGGAGAGGCUCCAUGUGACACAUGAAUGAGUGAGAAACUAGGUAUGACACAUGAAUAGGGGAGGUGGUCAGUGUAACACGAGUGAAAGACAGACUUAGUUUAAUAGAUAAGUAGGGGGAGGGGCUCAGUGUUACACAUGGUGGAAGAAAGACUGGAUGUGGCACAAUAGUGAGGAACAUACGUGUGACAUGAGUGGAGUAGGGGCCCCAUGACACAUGAGUAGGGGACAGACUCAGUGUUUCACAUGGGGGGAGGAAGAGCUCAGGGUGUCAUGAGUGGGGGGACUUCAUGUGACACAUGGGUGGAGGAGGGGCUCGAUGUGACACAUGGAAGGGAGGAGCAGAUCAGUAUGACACAAGUGCAGUAAGGGGCUUAGUGUGACACGAGUUUGAAAGGAGCUCUAUGUGACAUGAGUUGGGAAAAGGACUCCAGGAUACAUGAGUAGGGGAGGGGCUCAAUGUGACACAUGAGUGGGGGAGGGACUCCAUAUGAUACGUGAGUGGGGGAUGGGGUCAGUGCGACACAUGAGUGAGGAGUGCUCAGUGUGACACAUGGAUGUCACAGGAGCUCAGUGUGACACACAGGGGGAGGGACUUGAUGUGACACAUGGGUGGGGGAGGGGCUCCAUAUGACAUAGUAGAGGAUGGGCUCAGUUGACACAUGAAGAGGUGAGGGACUCAGUAUGACAUCUGGGUGCUGGAGGGGCUUUGUGUGACACAUGAGUAGGGGAGGGGUUCAGUGUGGCCUAUGGAUGGGAAAGGGACUAAGUGUAAUGCUUGAAUGCAAAGGCUCGGUAUAACAUAUGGGUGGAAGAGGGGCACCAUCAGUGGGGAAGGGCUCAGUCCUCCUCAUGAGUAGGGGGAGGGGCUCUGUGUUACGUAUGACACAUGAGUGUGGAAGAGGUUCAAUGUGACACAUGAGUGGAGGAGGAGCCCCAUGGGACACAUGAGAAGAGGAGGGGCUCAGUGACAUGAGUAGAGGAGGGGCUCAGUGACAUGAGUGGAGGAGGGGCUCAUAUAAUGCAUGAGGGGAAGGGCACAGGGUGACACAUGAGUUGGGGGGGGUGUGACACAUGGGUAGAGGAGGGGCUCCAUGUGACACAUGAGAGGAGGAGGGGCUCAAUGUAACACAUGGUGGAGGAAGGGGCUCAGUGUGACACAUGAAAUGGGAGGGACUUCAUAAUGAUGCAUGAGUGAGGGGCUCAAGAUGACACAAGGGUGGGAAAGGGUCUUAGCAUGACACAUGAGUGGGGCUCUUGGUGGACACACAAGUGAAGGGUCUCCACGGGACACAAGUGAGGAAGGGACUAAGUGUGACACACAGGUUAGUGGAAGGGCUCAGAGUGACAUAUGAGUGGAGAGUCUUGGUGAGACACAUGGGUGACGGAGGUGCUGUAUGAGACAAGUGUGGUGGAGGAACUCUAUGCGACACAUGAGUAGGCAAGGGACUCCAUAUGAUGCAUGAGUAGGGGAGGGGCUCAGUGUGACACAUGGGUCUCACAGGGGCUCAGUAAAACACAUAGGUGGGGGAGGGAUUUCAUGUGACACAUAAGUGGGGGAGGGGCUCCACAUAACACAUGGAUUCAGUGUGACCCAUGAGUGAGGGAGCAGCUCAGUAUGACAUAAGGGUGCUGGAGGGGCUAUAUGUGACCCAUGAACCUGGGAAGGGCUCAGUGUGGCACACGGGUGGGAGAUGGGCUCAAGUGUGACACCUGAGUGAGGGGGCUCAGUAUAACACAUCGGUGGAGGCACUAGAGGGGCACCAUGAGACACAGGAGUGAGGGAAGACAGUGCUACUCAUGAUCAGGGAGAGGGCUCAGGGUGACACACGAGUAGGGAAUGGACACAGGUGUGACACAUGAGUGGAGGAGGAGCUCAGUGUAAUACAUGAGUGAGGAGGGGCUCCAUGGGACACAAGUAGAGGAGGGGCUCAGUGUGACACAUGUUCAAGGAGGGGCUUGGUUGACACAUGAACCUAGCAGUGGUUUUCACCCUCAGGAACAUCCCAUGAACAUCCCACUGAGAGUGAUGGGCAUCCUGGGGUGAAGGUGGGACACCCAGGGGGCCACCUCAUCCUACCAGACCCCAAGGCAGUCUGCACACACCACGCUAAUUCUGAUUCAGAAUCUAAUUAAGACAGGCAACUAAACAAUCCCAAAAGUUACAGAAGUUCAUGCACCAAAAGUACAAUUCCAAUUAGCUAACCUGAAACUUCUCCUGAAGACCACCAAGGUCCCCUAAAAUUGAGUCUACUCCAAUCCGUGAAGGGGACCAUUAAGACAGCUGAGGCACCGUCAAACCCAACAAGUCCACACCCCCUCUCCCUCGAACAUCCACAGGGUCUUCAUGGACACUAGAGGGUCCCAUAUCUGGGCUCUCCAAGACCUAGAAAUUUCCAAAAUGGUUAUCUGACAACCAACACUUGGCCAACCAAAAACAUUAAAUCUGAUAGACAAAGCAAUUCCCAUCCUUGACCACCGUCAUUUUAGAGAGCAGAAGUUCACUGUAAUAGCCCCAAAGUAGAAAAGACAUAGCUCAGAUUCUUACAAUGGAAUAAAUUUUGCUUUACACAAAAUUCACUGGCUUGUCCGCUAUGUUCUGAUUUUACCCCAGAAGCAUGAACACUCCUUCACAG
This 10253-nucleotide long non-coding RNA is filed under the name Equus caballus (horse). RNAcentral's name for it is "lncRNA (ENSECAG00000050147.1)". Lineage: Eukaryota; Metazoa; Chordata; Mammalia; Perissodactyla; Equidae. The record is from RNAcentral.